This 431-nucleotide ribosomal RNA is filed under the name uncultured bacterium. Its description in RNAcentral is "partial 16S ribosomal RNA". It matches the Rfam family "Bacterial small subunit ribosomal RNA", at positions 29 to 507 of the family's 1533-position model. The record is from RNAcentral.
AGCGAACGCUGGCGGCAGGCUUAACACAUGCAAGUCGAGCGCCCCGCCAGGGGAGCGGCCGACGGGAGAGUAACACGUGGGAACAUACCUUUUGGUUCGGAACAACUGAGGGAAACUUCAGCCAAUACCGGAUAAGCCCUUACGGGGAAAGAUUUAUCGCCGAAAGAUUGGCCCGCGGCUGAUUAGCUACUUGGUGAGGUAACGGCUCACCAAGGCGACGAUCAGUAGCUGGUCUGAGAGGAUGAUCAGCCUCACUGGGACUGAGACACGGCCCAGACUCCUACGGGAGGCAACAGUGGGGAAUAUUGGACAAUGGGGGCAACCCUGAUCCAGCCAUGCCGCGUGAGUGAUGAAGGCCUUAGGGUUGUAAAGCUCUUUUGCCCGGGAAGAUAAUGACGGUACCGGGAGAAUAAGCCCCGGCUAACUUCGUG